Molecule: long non-coding RNA, 1126 nt
Filed under: Homo sapiens (human)
Lineage: Eukaryota; Metazoa; Chordata; Mammalia; Primates; Hominidae
Description: HSALNT0145322
Source: RNAcentral
UCCGGUUUUUUCCUCAGGCUUCCGGUCUGUUUGGUGCCCUGGUCGCGUGUCUUCCGAACUCUGCUGCUUCGCCCCGGCAAGAGCACUUCCUUCCGCGGCUGCUAAAACUGGUGCGCGGGUUCCCAACUUCGCAGAAGAGCUUCAUCGGCCCCCCGCUAGAGACCUCAGACCGCAGCCAUCGACGCCUCGCCUCGGGGAUCUGUCCCCACCCUCGGGGCCAGCCCUAGCGUAGCAGGUGCUCCCUGCAGUUUUUGCUUCUGAGAUAGAGUUCUCUUUUCAGCUCCUUCGGUAGUCACUUCGUACAUAGUGAUUCAUGAUGCGAAAUCCUCUCUGUUGAAAUAACUGACGAGGCCUCUGUCUUCUGACUGGACCCUGACUUCCAUGCCCUUUCCACUCUCACUCCAGUACAUGCCCAAACCCCAAUCUUUGUUGCUCCAGGCAUUGCCUCUGUGGCGCUGUGUCCCCUCCUUUGAACUCUGAUCCUUCUGCUCAGGCCCUUUCUCCCAGUCUGAAGUAACUCACCAUGAGUCAGGCCCUGUGCUAGGUGCUGGGAUGAAGCAGUGACUGACACAGGCCUGGACCUGUCCUUGGGAAGAGUGCGUCUGUGACACAGAUACUGUGCCAUGUGGCAAAACUUGAAUGGAGACAUCAGCUCUUUGUGGGUCUCAAGUCUACUGGCUUUCAAUCAGCUCUUCUGCUUGACAGCUGCAGGUCUUGGGACUGCCCAGCCCCCAUAACCCUGUGAGUGCAUUCCUGAUAAUAACCCUCUUUCUCUUGUCCUCCCCCACCCCACAUCAUUGGUUCUGUUUCUCUGGAGAACCAUAAUACAUCAUUUACUAAUCAGGAAAUAGAUUCAGAGACAUUAAUAACUCAUCCAACCUCACAGUUAACUGUAGAGUUGGGCUUGAAAUUCCAAGGUCGAUUUUCUUAGCCAAUACACCAUGCUACAUAUAUGUAUGUAAAAAUAAAAACGCUUGUGAACUGAAAAGGGUCCAAACUUAAGCUCAUUUUGGUCCUUAAUUGCUAAUCCAUAGGCAUGUUUUGGUCCUUAAUUGCUAAUCCAUAAGCAUGUUUCGGUCCUUAUUUGCUAAUCCAUAGGCCUGCACACCUGCCCCCAAGGCCAUGG